Ictidomys tridecemlineatus (thirteen-lined ground squirrel) is the source of this 72-nucleotide non-coding RNA. NCBI's taxonomy places the organism in Eukaryota, Metazoa, Chordata, Mammalia, Rodentia, Sciuridae. The record is from Rfam.
AGGGAUGUAGCUCAGUGGUCAAGUAUUUGCAGAGCAUGCAUGAGGCCCUGGGUUCAAUUCCCAGCAUCACCA